GAUCCUGGCUCAGGAUGAACGCUAGCGACAGGCUUAACACAUGCAAGUCGAGGGGCAGCGGGGAGUAGCAAUACUCUGCCGGCGACCGGCGCACGGGUGAGUAACGCGUAUGCAACUUGCCUAUCAGAGGAGAAUAGCUCAUCGAAAGAUGAAUUAAUGCUCCAUAAAAACAGGGGGUUUCCGCAUGGGAAUAUUUGUUAAAGAUUCAUCGCUGAUAGAUAGGCA
RNAcentral lists this ribosomal RNA (225 nucleotides) under uncultured bacterium. RNAcentral describes it as "partial 16S ribosomal RNA". It matches the Rfam family "Bacterial small subunit ribosomal RNA", at positions 15 to 231 of the family's 1533-position model. The record is from RNAcentral.